Molecule: ribosomal RNA, 468 nt
Filed under: uncultured bacterium
Lineage: Bacteria
Description: partial 16S ribosomal RNA
Rfam family: Bacterial small subunit ribosomal RNA
Source: RNAcentral
GACGAACGCUGGCGGCGUGCUUAACACAUGCAAGUCGAACGGAAAGGCCCUGCUCUUGUGGGGUGCUCGUGUGGCGAACGGGUGAGUAACACGUGAGUAACCUCCCCUUGACUUUGGGAUAACUUCAGGAAACUGGGGCUAAUACCGGAUAGGAGCUCCUGCUGCAUGGUGGGGGUUGGAAAGUUUCGGCGGUUGGGGAUGGUCUCGCGGCUUAUCGGCUUGUUGGGGGGGUAGUGGCUUCCCAAGGCUUUGAGGGAUAGCCGGCCUGGGCGGGUGACCGGCGACAUUGGGCCUGAGGGACGGCCCAGUCUCCUACGGGAGGCAGCAGUGGGGAAUAUUGCAGAGUGGGCCGAAGCGUGUUGCGGCAGCGCCGCGUGCGUGAUAACGGCUUUCGGGUGAAAAACCGCUUUCGCAGGUGACGAAGCGUGAGUGACGGUAAUUGGUAAAGAAGCACCGGCUAACUACGUG